CUAUUUAGAUAUACAUUGAAAUAAAAUAUUUUCAUAAUUCAUAUUGUAUGUUAUAAUUAUUCUCUGUUACACACCUGAACAAAUAUUCUUAUAAAAAUAUGCAUUGUUUCAGGUAUUUUAUUCAUUGUAAAACUUUUUGUAAACAAAUGUUACAUAUUUACCUCUUGGUGAUAGUUGAACAUUUUUCAUGGAUGUUAAUAAACAAUUUAUUUUGGUAGUGAACACAAACAGGAUUGAUUGACAUAGAUAUGGUUUUAUUUGCAGUGUUCAUACAUAAACUUAGAAGAUCACAGACAUUCAUUGUCAUAGGAGUACAUAAUAUUGCCUAGUGAGGCCAAAGUAACACCUAAGUUCCUGCCUACAGAGAAAGUAUGUGAAAAAGUGGGUGAACUUUGUAACGGUCAUUCACAAAACAGGAAUGAAUCAAAAAAUAUGUACUUUCUUUGCAAAAGAAUGCAGAAAGACUCCUGAGACCACCUAAAAAAUUGCAAGAAAUCAA
This 499-nucleotide long non-coding RNA is filed under the name Homo sapiens (human). RNAcentral's name for it is "HSALNT0320974". The record is from RNAcentral. Lineage: Eukaryota; Metazoa; Chordata; Mammalia; Primates; Hominidae.